GAUGAACGCUAGCGGCAGGCCUAAUACAUGCAAGUCGGACGGGAUUCAGGAGCUUGCUUCUGAUGAGAGUGGCGCACGGGUGCGUAACACGUAUGUAACCUACCUUUAUCAGGGGGAUAGCCUCUCGAAAGAGAGAUUAAGCCCGCAUAAAAUCACAGCACAGCAUUGUGUAAUGAUCAAAUAUUUAUAGGAUAAAGAUGGGCAUGCGGAACAUUAGCUAGAUGGCGGGGUAACGGCCCACCAUGGCGACGAUGUUUAGGGGAUCUGAGAGGAUGGCCCCCCACACUGGUACUGAGACACGGACCAGACUCCUACGGGAGGCAGCAGUAAGGAAUAUUGGUCAAUGGGCGGAAGCCUGAACCAGCCAUGCCGCGUGCAGGAAGACGGCCCUACGGGUUGUAAACUGCUUUUAUACGGGAAUAAACCCAGAUACGUGUAUCUGGCCGAAUGUACUGUAAGAAUAAGGAUCGGCUAACUCCGUG
RNAcentral lists this ribosomal RNA (482 nucleotides) under uncultured bacterium. Its description in RNAcentral is "partial 16S ribosomal RNA". It matches the Rfam family "Bacterial small subunit ribosomal RNA", at positions 28 to 507 of the family's 1533-position model. The record is from RNAcentral.